GAUGUACGCUGGCGGCGUGCCUAAUACAUGCAAGUCGAGCGAACGGACGAGAAGCUUGCUUCUCUGAUGUUAGCGGCGGACGGGUGAGUAACACGUGGAUAACCUACCUAUAAGACUGGGAUAACUUCGGGAAACCGUAGCUAAUACCGGAUAAUAUUUUGAACCGCAUGGUUCAAAAGUGAAAGACGGUCUUGCUGUCACUUAUAGAUGGAUCCGCGCUGCAUUAGCUAGUUGGUAAGGUAACGGCUUACCAAGGCAACGAUGCAUAGCCGACCUGAGAGGGUGAUCGGCCACACUGGAACUGAGACACGGUCCAGACUCCUACGGGAGGCAGCAGUAGGGAAUCUUCCGCAAUGGGCGAAAGCCUGACGGAGCAACGCCGCGUGAGUGAUGAAGGUCUUCGGAUCGUAAAACCCUGUUAUUAGGGAAGAACAUAUGUGUAAGUAACUGUGCACAUCUUGACGGUACCUAAUCAGAAAGCCACGGCUAACUACGUG
RNAcentral lists this ribosomal RNA (497 nucleotides) under uncultured bacterium. RNAcentral describes it as "partial 16S ribosomal RNA". It matches the Rfam family "Bacterial small subunit ribosomal RNA", at positions 28 to 507 of the family's 1533-position model. The record is from RNAcentral.